CACGUAGGGGCCAAGCGUUGUUCGGAUUCAUUGGGCGUAAAGGGUGCGUAGGCGGCGCGGUAAGUCGGGUGUGAAAUCUUGGAGCUUAACUCCGAAACUGCAUUCGAUACUGCCGUGCUUGAGGACUGGAGAGGAGACUGGAAUUUACGGUGUAGCGGUGAGAUGCGUAGAUAUCGUAAGGAAGACCAGUGGCGAAGGCGGGUCUCUGGACAGUUCCUGACGCUGAGGCACGAAGGCCAGGGGAGCAAACGGG
This 253-nucleotide ribosomal RNA is filed under the name uncultured bacterium. RNAcentral's name for it is "partial 16S ribosomal RNA". It matches the Rfam family "Bacterial small subunit ribosomal RNA", at positions 524 to 776 of the family's 1533-position model. The record is from RNAcentral.